UAGAGUUUGAUCAUGGCUCAGAUUGAACGCUGGCGGCAUGCCUUACACAUGCAAGUCGAACGGUAACAGGUCUUCGGAUGCUGACGAGUGGCGAACGGGUGAGUAAUACAUCGGAACGUGCCCGAUCGUGGGGGAUAACGGAGCGAAAGCUUUGCUAAUACCGCAUACGCCCUUCGGGGGAAAGAUUUAUCGCCGAUAGAUGAGCCCGCGUCUGAUUAGCUAGUUGGUGAGGUAAUGGCUCACCAAGCCAACGAUCUGUAGCUGGUCUGAGAGGACGACCAGCCACACUGGGACUGAGACACGGCCCAGACUCCUACGGGAGGCAGCAGUGGGGAAUUUUGGACAAUGGGCGCAAGCCUGAUCCAGCCAUGCCGCGUGCAGGAUGAAGGCCUUCGGGUUGUAAACUGCUUUUGUACGGAACGAAAAGACUCCUUCUAAUAAAGGGGGUCCAUGACGGUACCGUAAGAAUAAGCACCGGCUAACUACGUGCCAGCAGCCGCGGUAAU
This 506-nucleotide ribosomal RNA is filed under the name uncultured bacterium. Its description in RNAcentral is "bacterial SSU rRNA". It matches the Rfam family "Bacterial small subunit ribosomal RNA", at positions 1 to 524 of the family's 1533-position model. The record is from RNAcentral.